This 158-nucleotide non-coding RNA is filed under the name Brevundimonas sp. Its description in RNAcentral is "6S RNA". It matches the Rfam family "6S / SsrS RNA". From Rfam's summary of the family: E. coli 6S RNA was the first non coding RNA to be sequenced, but its function was unknown until recently. The record is from RNAcentral. Lineage: Bacteria; Pseudomonadati; Pseudomonadota; Alphaproteobacteria; Caulobacterales; Caulobacteraceae.
GGAGUGCUGUGGUUCACGUCAGAGGCGAUCAUCCUCGCGACCUUAUCUCUCUCGAAGGGAGCUGUCCCUGACCGGGCUCGAGGGCCUGGGCACACGGCGCCCACCUGGUCUGCCAGGUCGAGAGGAAAACAGUCCUCAACGGUCCUCGCGGCGCCCGC